AAGUCGUAACAAGGUUUCCGUAGGUGAACCUGCGGAAGGAUCAUUAUUGAAUGUUUGAAGUAGUUGAGCUGGUCCUAACGGACAUGUGCUUGCCGCUUCUAUUCAUCUCAUCCACCUGUGCACUUAUUGUAGAGCUUUGAGGAAUGUCCUAGUUCAUUCUGGGACUAGUAUUCGGGUUCUAUGUAUUUCACAAACUCUAUGAAUGUCUUGAAUGUCUUUUUAUUGGGACUUAAUUGGCCCUUUAAACUUUGUACAA
RNAcentral lists this unclassified non-coding RNA (256 nucleotides) under plant metagenome. RNAcentral describes it as "partial contains small subunit ribosomal RNA and internal transcribed spacer 1". The stretch from base 1 to 46 matches the Rfam family "Eukaryotic small subunit ribosomal RNA", at positions 1786 to 1831 of the family's 1831-position model. The record is from RNAcentral.